GGAUUAGAUACCCUGGUAGUCCACGCCGUAAACGAUGGUGACUAGGUGUGUGCGAUACAAAGUGCGCGCCCAAGCGAAAGUGAUAAGUCACCCACCUGGGGAGUACGCCCGCAAGGGUGAAACUCAAAGGAAUUGACGGGGGCCCGCACAAGCGGUGGAGCAUGUGGUUUAAUUCGAUGCAACGCGAAGAACCUUACCUACUCUUGACAUCCAUAGAACUUUCCAGAGAUGGAUUGGUGCCUUCGGGAACUAUGAGACAGGUGCUGCAUGGCUGUCGUCAGCUCGUGCUG
Molecule: ribosomal RNA, 290 nt
Filed under: uncultured bacterium
Lineage: Bacteria
Description: partial 16S ribosomal RNA
Rfam family: Bacterial small subunit ribosomal RNA
Source: RNAcentral